This is a non-coding RNA of Macaca mulatta (Rhesus monkey), 1362 nucleotides long. The record is from RefSeq and is a predicted model, not a curated record. Lineage: Eukaryota; Metazoa; Chordata; Mammalia; Primates; Cercopithecidae.
GUGACAUGGGACUUUCGGUUCAGAGAAGAAGACAAUCAUAGAGAUAAAUUUCAGACAUGAAGAUCUGAUUCAAUUUGCUUCCUCCUUUGGAUAACUAUGUUGCUGUCAGUGUUUCAAAUACACAUGCCUGAUUCUUCAUCUCCUUUUCUUUAAAGACUUAUGCAAGUGUAUCUCUGCUCAAAUAAAGAAGCACAAUUAUCAUUGCUUUUACUUUCUAAAAGUUGAAACUAUGGAUGAAAAGAGAUUAGUAUUUUUCUCCAAACCAGAAAGCUGGAAAUGAAAGCAAUUGCACAGUUUUAUGCAUGGGAGUAAUUGCAUGUGAAGUUAGAAGUAUUAUUCUGGCAACGAUGUGGAGAAGAUGAACUAAUAUAUACUCAGAGGUUUUACAAUGAUCACCUUCCUGGGAUGCCUUGGAGUUGUGAGAAGUAACAAAAGAGAAAUGCAAAUGAGGGAAAGGGAAUUAACAUCUGAACAGACAUGUUGUCCUUGCACUUUAUAUUCAGCAUGUUAUUAAUUCCAGUAAUGAUGCAGAGGGUUUAAGAUUACAUUUUCCAUUUUAUCACAAAGAACCAAAGGCUUAGAGAUUUUAAAUGACCUGUGUAUGUCACAUAGCUGGAACGUCAUGAAUUUGGGACCAAAUCUAUGUCCUUUCACAACCAAAGUUUAUUUCACUAUGGUCUCAUAGUGAAUGCCUGGGCUGCUUUAAUAAAAAGAAUAUAUUACUCACAGUUUCAGAAUCUGACAAGUCCCAGAUCAAGGCACUAGUGUCUGAUGAGAGCCUGUUCCUUACAGAUUGUCCCUUCUAUGUGUCCCCACAAAGCACAAAGAAGAAAACAGACUCCUUGCCUUUUUCUUAAAGAUACUAAUUCCAUUCACGAGGAUAGAGACCUUAUGAGCUACACACCUCCUAAAAAGCCCACCUUUUAAUAUCACCACAGUGGGAAUUAGUUUCAAAACGAAUUUCAGAACAUUGAAACCAUUGCAACUAUGUCAUGACAUCUAAACAAUUCUCUAAUCUUAAGAAAGGUGCUAAACCUUGCAAAACUAGUGAGAAGGAUGCAAAAACGCUGCAUGUGUGUGUUUCACAAACUUUAACGCGUAUUCCAUUACAGAAAUAUCCUCCAGGUUGACAGCAAUAAGAACUUUCUUCUAGUGCUCUCUUUUGACUUGAUUUAGUCCAGUCGGCUUUAUCGUUUUAAUGUCACUGCUGCUGUAACUGUGAAGUGGCCGCUCUGUUUCCACACUUACCCAUGCAAGCUUUCCCUGGUCUUUUUAGCUCAAGUGAAAACUCGUUCAUUUCUUUUUCUACUAAACCACCAACCAAAAUGUAUUCUAUUUAUUAAAAAAUUUUAUCAUCAUAAG